RNAcentral lists this long non-coding RNA (1832 nucleotides) under Lytechinus variegatus (green sea urchin). RNAcentral describes it as "uncharacterized LOC121407734". Lineage: Eukaryota; Metazoa; Echinodermata; Echinoidea; Temnopleuroida; Toxopneustidae. The record is from RNAcentral.
AUGUUUCUUCAAUACAUUCUCGACAGAAAAAUUGACAUUUCAGUGCAUUUUGAGCUAUUUUGAAAGAAAAUAAAGCGAGUUCCCUUGCAACGAGAAUAAUCCGAUACCGCCGGCGAGCCGUGUUCAUUCAACUUACAACUUGCAAAUUUGAGUUGAUUUUUCCGUCACUUUACAUAUUUUGAUGUAUCUGUCACAGCUUUUUUUAAUGCAAAUUCCACUGGAAACAACGGGUCUUCUGGAGGAUACAAGUACUUGGGCUGGUCCCAACCACCUAGCUACACCCGGGAUGAGGAGAAGAGGUUUCAUACUCGACAAGCGAUGACCUUGGCUUUCCAUUUCUUUCACGAGCAGAAAUGAUACCAAGUUCCAAUGACUUGGGCAUCAGAGCAGCAGUGCCUUGAUCGAUGAGCACUUUGAGACCACCUGAAUAGCAAGCUCUGUAUGGCCAGUUUAUGUGUGACAAAAUAAAAGAUGAGGAAGGGUUGAAAAUCCCUCCAGCUAAGUUAGGGAUCAUGUAAUUGCCAUGGAAACCAAAUGUAGUAACGUAUAACAGGUUGUAUAUUCCUGAAAGUACAAUUGUUGGAUAAAUGUUAAUUUAUAUUGGCACUAAUGUAAUUUUAAGAUCAUCCUUAGCUUUACAUUAACACCAAGAGCAGAGGAUAUUGUUCCCAGUUGGAAUUGUAUCAUAUUUAUUAUCAUAAGAGUAUUAUCAUAAUUGUGGUAAUGUAAUCCUAUUUGAAAUUUUGAACCAGUAUAAAUGUGGGAUAUAAUAUGUUUUAUAUACACUGAAGUUCAAUAUGUGUUACUAUGUGAUUUUAGAUCUGAUCAAGUUUACCUUAAUGUUACUUAAUAAAACCCACUUAACUCCAAAGAAGUAUUUUGAAUAUUUGGUUCUUGCACUAUUUUGUAUCUCUUUUCUCGCUGAAUAUUUACCUUUUAUUGAGAGCUGCGGUGACGGGUUCCAUGACAUUUGCUCUGGCAAAUUCCACACCAUAAUCUUAUGAACAGCUUCAACCAGCAAGGUCUAAACCUAACUUAAAACCAUAUUGCUACCCUGAACCUCUAUCUUAAGGGGCUUUCACAAUUGCUCGUGCGAUUGUUUGCGAUCACUUGGUCACAAUAUAUGUUGCACAGAAUUGCAACUGUGAAGGGUCGUAAGUAGUUGCGCAGCCAAUUGUGAAAAGGGCUUUAGACAAAAUUAAGCCUGGGGUAAUUGUCGCAGGAGCAAAUGUUGUGUCACAUGGUAAUCAGAUGGAGAUGAUUGGAGAGAUGAAGAUGGGGGGGGAGGAUGGAGAUGAAAGGUGGGAUGGUCAUGACGAGGAGUGAUGGAGUUGAGAGGGGUGUGGAUGAUGAGUGGAUGGAGAUGAGAGGAGGGAUGAUACAAGGAUGGAUUGAGAUGAUGAAAGGUGGAAUGGCCAUGAUGAGGAGUGAUGGAGUUGAUGGGAGGGGUGUGGAUGGAGAUGAGAGGAGGGAUGGGAUGAGGCAAGGAUGGAUGGAGAUGAUGUGGAAGGGUUGACAGGAGUAGGGGGUGGAGAUGAGGAAGAGAUUGAAAUGAAAUAGGGAUGGAGAUGCGAAAAUGGUUGGAGAAGACGGGAAUGGAGAUAAUGGGGAUGGAGAUGUCAGGCGGCGUGUUGAUAAUGAGAGAAGAAAGAUAAAAGGGCAGGGGGGUGAUCAUCAUCACAAACAUUGCCUCCACCAACUUCAUCAUCAAUAUCAUUACCAUCAUCGUCAUUAUGAUAUCAUCAUCACCACAAACUUCAUCAUUAUCAUUGGCGUAAUGAGUGAAAGAUUUUGAGGGGUAAGAUAUGGCCCAUCAUGCCAAAGUUAUUUUU